AACAACUCCGGAUCCUUAACCUACUGUGCCACAGCGGGAACUCCAAAAUGACCCAAUGUAUGAAUUUUUACAUGAUAGACUCAGUUUGAUUCACUAUUUCUGAUGAGCACAUUUUAAAACAAAUCAAUUUCUUAUUUCGGAGAUGACAGCCUGAAAAUCUAGAAUCAAUAGCACCUUUCAUUUUAUUAGCAGACUUACUUUCAAAGUGUUUUCACCUUUUUCUCUCACAGCUUUUUAAUGAAAUAAUGAAGCAGGUAAUAUUUUCUAUGUUUAAGUAGAGAAAGCCCACAGAGGUUAAGUAAAUUGCCAGUAGGAAGCAUUUAUAAUGAAAAUGCCAUAUUAUCAAAGUUUGGUUUAAAACACAGCAACACUGACCAAAAACUUUUUAAAAAGGUUAGUUAAAAAACAUGGGACUUCCCUGGUGGUCUAAUGGUUAGGGUAUGGUGCUUACACCGCUGAGGCCCAGGUUCAGUCCCUGCUCUGGGAACUGAGAUCCCGCAUCAAGCAGCUGCACAUUGCAGCCGAGAAAAUAAAAAACAAAACUGAAAAAAGCAAAUACACUUCCAGAAUCACAAAGUUAGGUCAGUUUAAACACAGAUCUGACUGUUCAGAAACAUUUUUCCGUUUCCCAGUUCUGUGUUAUUUCCAAGACGUACAACCUUUGCCUGUUAAAUGGCGCAUGGUAUUGUUUCCUGACCGCUGAGCGUGGGGAGAAUCAUACUUGCAAGUUCCUCAGGUCUUGGGGAUUCUUUCGGAAAGAAAAAAAAUAAAAGAACUUGGAUUUCCCCUUGAAGUUUAGCAGAAACAGAUCUGACUGGUAUCCGUGAGGAUGCAGGUUUGAUCCCUGGCCUCGCUCCAGCUGGAUGUCGUCACGGUCGUCCAGCUAAGGGCACCUCUGAGGGACCACGCAGACCCCCAGCCCCUCAGCGUCUCUGAGCAGCGGGGCACCCCCUCAACAGCCCUUAGACGUGUGGUGCGGAUAGGGGAAGGCCUUGGAUACGGCAAUUUCUAAGCUCGAUUUAAACGUCCCAGGACCAACUCACAGCUCUUGCUCUAGCACCGAGAGGCUCUAGAAGCCCCAGCCCUGCAACCUUCUCGGAGCCAUCCUCUCCGACCGGGACGAGGAGACAAGGACUGAAUCACCUCUUCUCCCACUUUCCUUCGCGGGGCCGCUGGCACUCUCGCUCCCUCCGGCCCUGCCUGCCCUCUGUCUGAGGGUCUCCCUCCGGCUGGCUCUGCGUGGAGGCCUCAGGUUGGUUCCUGGCAUAAUUGCGGAGAGGAAAAUGGGAACGAGGGAAGGACAAAGACAAACGAGGAUGACAGCCAAGGGCCGGCAAGGCUGAGCCGACGGCUCUGAGGUCCACAGUCCCGGGCAAUUCCUCCUGGAGUCUGGGUCGCCUCCCCCCAUCCACUCACCUCCAUCUCGGGAAGGCAGGAGGAGCAAGCAGGACUGCCUGCGUGGCCCGGGCGAACCGCACCUCUUUGGCUUGGAACCGACUCCGAAGUGGAUGAGGACCCAGUGGGAGAGAGGACCUCGCUUGGAAAUACUUCGGGGGGUUCUUUACCUGAGUCUCCAGCCAGGAGUCAGAUCGGAGUCACCGCUGUGACCUAUGCCUUGGCUGCAGCCAUGCCGGAUCCUUGAACCCACUGUGCUGGGCCGGGGAUGGAACCUGCGUCCCAGCGCUCCCAAGACACCGCCGGUCCCAUGGCGCCACAGCGGAAACGCCUGGAUAGAUACUUUUGACUCAAACAGAAACACAUGUGUGUGUGUAUAUGAGAGAACCUACUGUGUUUAAAAUACUUAGUUAGGAACAGAAGCACAGAAGCCUCAUCUUUCGUUCUUACUCGUAUUUCUGUGACAGGAUGGCA
Long non-coding RNA from Phacochoerus africanus (Common warthog), 1869 nucleotides. RefSeq lists it as uncharacterized. The transcript has 3 exons. NCBI's taxonomy places the organism in Eukaryota, Metazoa, Chordata, Mammalia, Artiodactyla, Suidae. The record is from RefSeq and is a predicted model, not a curated record.